CCUUGAUUAAAUUCAUUAGUUAAUGAAAUUUACCAGUCAUGCUUCUAUGUCAGUGAUUCUCAAACUUGAGGGCACACUGGCACCACCUGGAGUGAUUGUUAAGACAGAUUCCAAGUCCCCACUCCCAGCCUUCUUUAUUCACUGGGUCUGGAGUGGGUCUUGGGAAUUUGCCCCAGAUCCCAGCUGAUGCUGAAGCUGAGGGUCUGGAGUUCACACUGCAUUUAGUUAAUGGAUCUGUCUGAUAAUUAAAAUCAGGUUCAUUAAGAAAUAGAUUUAAUUAGGUCUCCCAAACUGCUAAUUUGAUCUAGACCCUAGAUAAUAGGUUUUGUUUAAUAGGCUUAUUAAACUCAUCAAAUUAAAACUGACCCCUUUAAAAAAAAAUUGACCCCAUCCUUCAAGCCCUUCCUUCCUUUUUACUGGUUCUUUAAAUUUGAUCUCUUCAGGAAGGUGGCUGAGAAGAAAACAAUUCUGGGAUGGAAGCUGGGGAAUGACCCUCCGAGCAGGUGACAUGAAGGGAACUGUGAACUGGGGCAUCUAUAUCCAGCCUCCUCCCUCCUCCCAGCCCCACACCCCUCAGGGUCCUAGAAGAAAGCCUUGUCACCUGGAUGGACUGUGAUAAAGACGAGCAACAGAAUCCGGGCCAUGUCAGAGGGCGUUCCUGUUGACAAGGGGAACCUGAGCAGUGAGGCACUGAGACCACUGGACCAUCCAGCUGCAGGGUUGCAGCUUUCUCUUCAGGGAGGAGGCAGCUGCAAUAAAGAGAAGUCAAGAGGUCAGAGUCCACUCCAGCAUCUCCCCCAACCUGCAUGGGUCAGGGAGAGGGCAGUGAGAAGUAAAACCUCGCAGCUGCAGAAGGGGAAAUAGCUUGUGGGAGGAGAGGAGAAGGAAAGGUGUGUCCAUCUGGGGCAGAUUGGCUGGAGUUCAUAGAAGGGAGUUUAGACAAAAGUGUCUCAGUGAGGGGGAUGCUCCGUCUUUGCCUCCCCUAGAAGCCAUUAGCCAAAACGAGCAGCAAAGGGGAUAAAGGUGUCCCUUGGGUCUACCAAUCCGGUCUCUCUCAGUAUCAUGUUGCUCCAAAGAAUCUACUUAAAUUCUUGAAUUCCUGAGCAAUGUUGAUUUUACUGAAAAUUUCCAAGGAGAUAAGAGGAUUACACUGCACAUCCAGAAACAAAUUAAGGUUCCUUUGUUAGUUCCGUAUUUCUAAGUGCCUCUCUGGAGCUGCCAGGCUAGAAGAGAAGUUUCUCUUCCUUUCCAGACCCUGCACCCCAUCUCACCACCCUCCCAAAUCUGUCAGCAGACUUCAGGUUCUCCUGCCAUUCACAGAGCAGAAAACCUCAGUCAGCCUUUCCUCCGCUCCCUAUCCAAACCUGCGUGCCCAGACUUGUGAAACCCGAGCCUUAGAGUUACCUGAACGUCCAGACCUGUUCAAAGACCGUUUGUUCCUGAGAAUAAAUGUCCCUGGGGACUUACCGACCUUCCCCCACACCUCUGGUGGCUUCUCAAAAUAUUUCUUUCAUGCACACACUGGGCUCCCCUUAAGAGGAAUUUAGGAGAAUGUUAUUUUCUCAUCUCUUUUCUACACCCAGCUCCUCCUUCU
Molecule: long non-coding RNA, 1594 nt
Organism: Camelus dromedarius (Arabian camel)
Lineage: Eukaryota; Metazoa; Chordata; Mammalia; Artiodactyla; Camelidae
Source: Ensembl